AGGGUUUGAUUCUGGCUCAGGAUGAACGCUAGCUACAGGCUUAACACAUGCAAGUCGAGGGGCAGCAUGAGCUCAGUUAUUCUGGGUUUGAUGGCGACCGGCGCACGGGUGAGUAACGCGUAUCCAACCUGCCCUUUACUCGGGGAUAGCCUUCUGAAAGGAAGUUUAAUACCCGAUGAAUUCGUUUAGUCGCAUGGCUUGAUGAAGAAAGAUUUAUCAGUAAAGGAUGGGGAUGCGUCCCAUUAGCUUGUUGGCGGGGUAACGGCCCACCAAGGCGACGAUGGGUAGGGGUUCUGAGAGGAAGGUCCCCCACAUUGGAACUGAGACACGGUCCAA
Molecule: ribosomal RNA, 336 nt
Filed under: uncultured bacterium
Lineage: Bacteria
Description: bacterial SSU rRNA
Rfam family: Bacterial small subunit ribosomal RNA
Source: RNAcentral